AGCCCUUUAGUGUAGCGGUCAAGCACGCUGGCCUCUGAAGCCGGCAACCCAGGUUCGAAUCCUGGAGGGGCUA
RNAcentral lists this transfer RNA (73 nucleotides) under Candidatus Pacearchaeota archaeon. RNAcentral's name for it is "tRNA-Gln". It matches the Rfam family "tRNA". Rfam says of the family: Transfer RNA (tRNA) molecules are approximately 80 nucleotides in length. Their secondary structure includes four short double-helical elements and three loops (D, anti-codon, and T loops). The record is from RNAcentral. Lineage: Archaea; Nanobdellati.